Molecule: ribosomal RNA, 443 nt
Filed under: uncultured bacterium
Lineage: Bacteria
Description: partial 16S ribosomal RNA
Rfam family: Bacterial small subunit ribosomal RNA
Source: RNAcentral
CCUACGGGUGGCAGCAGUGGGGAAUAUUGGGCAAUGGGCGCAAGCCUGAACCAGCAAAGCCGCGUGAAGGAAGAAGGCUCUAGGGUUGUAAACUUCUUUUGUCCGGGGCGCAGCAAGUGACGGUACCUGACGAAUAAGCAAUGGCUAAAUACGUGCCAGCAGCCGCGGUUAUACGUAGGUGGCAAGCGUUAUCCGGGUUUACUGGGUGAAAAGGGCGUGUAGGCGGGGAGGCAAGGCAGAUGGGAAAACCACGGGCCCAACCCGUGGCCUGCAGUUGAAACUGUUGUUCUUGAGUGGUGGAGAGGCAAGCGGAAUGCCGUGUGUAGCGGUGAAAUGCGUAGAUAUACGGAAGAACCCCAGUGGCGAAGGCAGAUUGCUGGAGAGCAACUGACGCUGAGGCGCGAAAGCGUGGGGAGCGAACAGGAUUAGAUACCCUAGUAGUC